Molecule: long non-coding RNA, 241 nt
Filed under: Populus trichocarpa (black cottonwood)
Lineage: Eukaryota; Viridiplantae; Streptophyta; Magnoliopsida; Malpighiales; Salicaceae
Description: long non-coding RNA (PTRI_LNC000345)
Source: RNAcentral
UUUUUUUCUUUGCCUUGUCUUUUUUUUUUCUAGGACAUCUUUUUUGUGUUUUUUUUGUCCAUGUAUUUAUAUUUUCUGGAAAAACAAUAUUAGAAAUAUCUUUACAUUAUUUUCUACUUAAAUAAGGAUUUUUAUGGUAAUUUUCUCAAUUUUACUUGUACCCCCAUUUAUUUUUCUUUUCCUCGCGUGUAUAAUCUCCUAUCAUAUGAUUUGGUCAUUUUUCAUCUUAAUUAUUUUUUCU